Long non-coding RNA from Poecilia latipinna (sailfin molly), 277 nucleotides. RefSeq lists it as uncharacterized. Lineage: Eukaryota; Metazoa; Chordata; Actinopteri; Cyprinodontiformes; Poeciliidae. The transcript has 3 exons. The record is from RefSeq and is a predicted model, not a curated record.
GGCCCUGUGAUGGACUGGUGACCUGUCCAGGGUGAACCCUGCCUCUCAUCUGAUGACUGCUAGAGAUGGGCAGCACCAGCCCUCCUCACCAUCCUGCAAGGAUCAGUGUGUUCAGAUCAUGGAUGGAAAGCUUUUAAGGUAAAGAGAACAUCCAGAAAUGUUUUUACCCCCCAGGCAUCGGGUCCCAAUCAUCAUCAGUUCUGAUGAUGUCACAUACAUGGCGAGUCCACAUCGUCUUGAAAUUGUUUCUGUAAAGUGCAGUGAAUGUGAAUGUUCU